Molecule: ribosomal RNA, 425 nt
Filed under: uncultured bacterium
Lineage: Bacteria
Description: partial 16S ribosomal RNA
Rfam family: Bacterial small subunit ribosomal RNA
Source: RNAcentral
GUGGGGAAUAUUGGACAAUGGGCGCAAGCCUGAUCCAGCCAUGCCGCGUGAGUGAUGAAGGCCCUAGGGUUGUAAAGCUCUUUCACCGAUGAAGAUAAUGACGGUAGUCGGAGAAGAAGCCCCGGCUAACUUCGUGCCAGCAGCCGCGGUAAUACGAAGGGGGCUAGCGUUGUUCGGAUUUACUGGGCGUAAAGCGCACGUAGGCGGUUUGUUAAGUCAGGGGUGAAAUCCCGGAGCUCAACUCCGGAACUGCCUUUGAUACUGGCAAGCUAGAGUCCGGAAGAGGUAAGUGGAACUCCUAGUGUAGAGGUGGAAUUCGUAGAUAUUAGGAAGAACACCAGUGGCGAAGGCGGCUUACUGGUCCGGAACUGACGCUGAGGUGCGAAAGCGUGGGGAGCAAACAGGAUUAGAUACCCUUGUAGUCC